GUGAACGGGAAGACUACUUGCCCCACCUGUAUGGCCGGCACGCUGCCUACAAACUUCCUGACACUAUGGGAGACAUUAUUGAGGGACGGUUCAACUGGUCACAACCAGUCUCCGACCAGGAAUGGAGAUUAACCUGUCAUAACAUGCUCACUCCGACCAACGUGAACCACCACUCCACUCUCUGGUACCGUAGAUAGAGAUUUCCUGU
Macrosteles quadrilineatus (aster leafhopper) is the source of this 208-nucleotide long non-coding RNA. RefSeq lists it as uncharacterized. Lineage: Eukaryota; Metazoa; Arthropoda; Insecta; Hemiptera; Cicadellidae. The record is from RefSeq and is a predicted model, not a curated record. The transcript has 3 exons.